GACGAACGCUGGCGGCGUGCCUAAUACAUGCAAGUUGAGCGCUGAAGGUUGGUACUUGUACCCACUGGAUGAGCAGCGAACGGGUGAGUAACGCGUGGGGAAUCUGCCUUUGAGCGGGGGACAACAUUUGGAAACGAAUGCUAAUACCGCAUAAAAACUUUAAACACAAGUUUUAAGUUUGAAAGAUGCAAUUGCAUCACUCAAAGAUGAUCCCGCGUUGUAUUAGCUAGUUGGUGAGGUAAAGGCUCACCAAGGCGAGGAUACAUAGCCGACCUGAGAGGGUGAGCGGCCACAUUGGGACUGAGACACGGCCCAAACUCCUACGGGAGGCAGCAGGAGGGAAUCGUCGGCAAUGGACGAAAGUCUGACCGAGCAACGCCGCGUGAGUGAAGAAGGUUUUCGGAUCGUAAAACUCUGUUGGUAGAGAAGAACGUUGGUGAGAGUGGAAAGCUCAUCAAGUGACGGUAACUACACAGAAAGGGACGGCUAACUACGUG
Molecule: ribosomal RNA, 497 nt
Filed under: uncultured bacterium
Lineage: Bacteria
Description: partial 16S ribosomal RNA
Rfam family: Bacterial small subunit ribosomal RNA
Source: RNAcentral